This 372-nucleotide ribosomal RNA is filed under the name Salmonella enterica subsp. enterica serovar Infantis. RNAcentral describes it as "bacterial SSU rRNA". It matches the Rfam family "Bacterial small subunit ribosomal RNA", at positions 1 to 371 of the family's 1533-position model. Lineage: Bacteria; Pseudomonadati; Pseudomonadota; Gammaproteobacteria; Enterobacterales; Enterobacteriaceae. RNAcentral also lists the same sequence under 1 other name. The record is from RNAcentral.
AAAUUGAAGAGUUUGAUCAUGGCUCAGAUUGAACGCUGGCGGCAGGCCUAACACAUGCAAGUCGAACGGUAGCACAGAGAGCUUGCUCUCGGGUGACGAGUGGCGGACGGGUGAGUAAUGUCUGGGAAACUGCCUGAUGGAGGGGGAUAACUACUGGAAACGGUGGCUAAUACCGCAUAACGUCGCAAGACCAAAGAGGGGGACCUUCGGGCCUCUUGCCAUCAGAUGUGCCCAGAUGGGAUUAGCUUGUUGGUGAGGUAACGGCUCACCAAGGCGACGAUCCCUAGCUGGUCUGAGAGGAUGACCAGCCACACUGGAACUGAGACACGGUCCAGACUCCUACGGGAGGCAGCAGUGGGGAAUAUUGCACAA